UGGGGAAUUUUGGACAAUGGGCGAAAGCCUGAUCCAGCAAUGCCGCGUGUGUGAAGAAGGCCUUCGGGUUGUAAAGCACUUUUGUCCGGAAAGAAAUCCUUGGCUCUAAUACAGUCGGGGGAUGACGGUACCGGAAGAAUAAGCACCGGCUAACUACGUGCCAGCAGCCGCGGUAAUACGUAGGGUGCAAGCGUUAAUCGGAAUUACUGGGCGUAAAGCGUGCGCAGGCGGUUUGCUAAGACCGAUGUGAAAUCCCCGGGCUCAACCUGGGAACUGCAUUGGUGACUGGCAGGCUAGAGUAUGGCAGAGGGGGGUAGAAUUCCACGUGUAGCAGUGAAAUGCGUAGAGAUGUGGAGGAAUACCGAUGGCGAAGGCAGCCCCUGGGCAAUACUGACGCUCAUGCACGAAAGCGUGGGGAGCAAACAGGAUUAGAUACCCUGGUAGUCCACGCCCUAAACGAUGUCAACUAGUUGUUGGGGAUUCAUUCCUUAGUAACGUAGCUAACGCGUGAAGUUGACCGCCUGGGGAGUACGGUCGCAAGAUU
RNAcentral lists this ribosomal RNA (544 nucleotides) under uncultured bacterium. RNAcentral's name for it is "partial 16S ribosomal RNA". It matches the Rfam family "Bacterial small subunit ribosomal RNA", at positions 355 to 895 of the family's 1533-position model. The record is from RNAcentral.